CGGGAGCGCGCGUUUAUUUCUGAGCCGCAGUCGCAGAGAGACAGAGAGCGUGUACGGGAGCGCGCCUGGGAUUUUCUCUCCUUUCUCCUAGAGGAUCGCGUUCAGGAAUUAUCCAGAGGACUUUCAUGUGAACAUACACACACAGACACACACACACACACACACACACACACACACAGAGUGUGAGUGUGUGUGUUUAUUCUGCUAUAUAAGGGAUGAGCUGAUACACAUGUGAUGGAUCACACAUUUCGGGAAUGAUGGAAAACCUGUUAGGAAUAUAAACACACUUUACAGCUUGGAGUGUGAGAGCAGGACAUCAUCCUCACAGCACACAUGCAGCUUUAUUGAUCAACCUCACAAAAUGUAGAACUAACACCUCGUCUGACACAGCUGAUGAGAGUCUUCACUGAAUCCAGCUCUGUAUGUCUUCACUUGUAAACUGUAUCCUGCUGUAUUGCACUUAAAAACUUAAGAAAUCAGUUAAACAGUACACAAUUGACAAGGUAGAUGAAAAAAAAAUAAAACAAAUCAACUAUAUAUAUAUAUAUAUAUGUGUGUGUGUGAAGCAACGUGAAAGUAAAGUAAUCCCAUCUAAAUAGGGCUGUACCGUGUUCCUAAUGCGUAACACACAGUGUCCUGUGGAACCCGUUUAGGAGGCUAAGAACCUUAAAUCUCACCCCUGAAGAACCCGUUGUUUCCCCUAAAAGAAGCUAAAUGUUAAAUUCAGGUUCUAGGUAAUAUUAAGAAGAAAAUAACGUGAAACCAUUUGGAGUUUGUAACACACACGUACCCGGUUAAUACACACUGUCUUACAACAAAGGCUUCCUCAGGGGCUCUUCAAGGGUUUCUUGUAUAGGAAUUAGUGUCUUAGUUUCGGGAAAAGGUUCUACUUGUUACGCUCGGUUGUAGCGUUAUACGUAAAAAAGCUUUAAGGGUUCCACAACCUAAAAAAAAAAAAAAACUUUCAGUGUUGAUGUUUUUUAUUAGUUUUUUAAAGAGUGUAGAUCUGAAGCAGGUCUGAAUCGGCUGUAGAACGUGAUGGAUAUGACUGAUAGACGAGUUAAAGAAAUGUGCAUUUGAAUCAGUUUGUCCUAGAAUGAAUUACUGUUCGAAUAAGAAUGGGUUCUUCCAGGUUUCGCAGGGUUCUUAGCUUUGUUUCUUAUAGGAAGCAUUUCUGAUUGGAGAACACUGUUAGAACUCUAGCUGGACAACUGCAGAACCGUUCAG
This is a long non-coding RNA of Ictalurus punctatus (channel catfish), 1227 nucleotides long. Lineage: Eukaryota; Metazoa; Chordata; Actinopteri; Siluriformes; Ictaluridae. The record is from Ensembl.